RNAcentral lists this ribosomal RNA (456 nucleotides) under uncultured bacterium. Its description in RNAcentral is "bacterial SSU rRNA". It matches the Rfam family "Bacterial small subunit ribosomal RNA", at positions 355 to 824 of the family's 1533-position model. The record is from RNAcentral.
UGGGGAAUCUUGGACAAUGGGGGCAACCCUGAUCCAGCCAUGCCGCGUGAGUGAUGAAGGCCUUAGGGUCGUAAAGCUCUUUCGCCUGUGAAGAUAAUGACGGUAGCAGGUAAAGAAACCCCGGCUAACUCCGUGCCAGCAGCCGCGGUAAUACGGAGGGGGUUAGCGUUGUUCGGAAUUACUGGGCGUAAAGCGCACGUAGGCGGACCCAGAAAGUUGGGGGUGAAAUCCCGGGGGCUCAACCCCGGAACUGCCUCCAAAACUAUUGGUCUAGAGUUCGAGAGAGGUGAGUGGAAUUCCAAGUGUAGAGGUGAAAUUCGUAGAUAUUUGGAGGAACACCAGUGGCGAAGGCGGCUCACUGGCUCGAUACUGACGCUGAGGUGCGAAAGUGUGGGGAGCAAACAGGAUUAGAUACCCUGGUAGUCCCACACCGUAAAACGAUGAAUGCCAGUCGUC